Molecule: ribosomal RNA, 253 nt
Filed under: uncultured bacterium
Lineage: Bacteria
Description: partial 16S ribosomal RNA
Rfam family: Bacterial small subunit ribosomal RNA
Source: RNAcentral
UACGUAGGGUGCAAGCGUUAUUCGGAAUUACUGGGCGUAAAGCGUGCGCAGGCGGUUGUGUAAGUCAGAUGUGAAAUCCCCGGGCUUAACCUGGGAAUUGCAUUUGUGACUGCACGGCUAGAGUGUGUCAGAGGGGGGUAGAAUUCCACGUGUAGCAGUGAAAUGCGUAGAUAUGUGGAGGAAUACCGAUGGCGAAGGCAGCCCCCUGGGAUAACACUGACGCUCAUGCACGAAAGCGUGGGGAGCAAACAGG